GCCGUUGUAGCAUAGUGGCAGUGCAUUGCGUUGUGGCCGCAACGGCGCAGGUUCGAUUCCUGCCAACGGCA
Molecule: transfer RNA, 71 nt
Filed under: Dispira parvispora
Lineage: Eukaryota; Fungi; Kickxellomycota; Dimargaritomycetes; Dimargaritales; Dimargaritaceae
Rfam family: tRNA
About the family: Transfer RNA (tRNA) molecules are approximately 80 nucleotides in length. Their secondary structure includes four short double-helical elements and three loops (D, anti-codon, and T loops). Further hydrogen bonds mediate the characteristic L-shaped molecular structure. tRNAs have two regions of fundamental functional importance: the anti-codon, which is responsible for specific mRNA codon recognition, and the 3' end, to which the tRNAs corresponding amino acid is attached (by aminoacyl-tRNA synthetases). tRNAs cope with the degeneracy of the genetic code in two manners: having more than one tRNA (with a specific anti-codon) for a particular amino acid; and 'wobble' base-pairing, i.e. permitting non-standard base-pairing at the 3rd anti-codon position.
Source: Rfam by way of RNAcentral